This 468-nucleotide ribosomal RNA is filed under the name uncultured bacterium. RNAcentral's name for it is "partial 16S ribosomal RNA". It matches the Rfam family "Bacterial small subunit ribosomal RNA", at positions 28 to 507 of the family's 1533-position model. The record is from RNAcentral.
GACGAACGCUGGCGGCGUGCUUAACACAUGCAAGUCGAACGGAAAGGCCCUGCUUUUGUGGGGUGCUCGAGUGGCGAACGGGUGAGUAACACGUGAAUAACCUGCCCUUGACUUUGGGAUAACUUCAGGAAACUGGGGCUAAUACCGGAUAGGAGCUCCUGCUGCAUGGUGGGGGUUGGAAAGUUUCGGCGGUUGGGGAUGGACUCGCGGCUUAUCAGCUUGUUGGGGGGGUAGUGGCUUACCAAGCCUUUGACGGGUAGCCGGCCUUGGAGGGUGGCCGGCGACAUGGGGACUGAGAGAGGGAGCAGACGGCUACGGGAGGCAGCAGUGGGGAAUAUUGCACAGUGGGCGGAAGCCUGAUGCAGCAGCGCCGCGUGCGUGAUGACGUCCUUCGGGUUGUAAACCGCUUUCGCCUGAGACGAGGCGUGAGUGACGGUAAUGGGUAAAGAAGCACCGGCUAACUACGUG